CACAUCCAAAGAUGCCUAGGCUUCAAAUCAAAUAGUUCAUUCUAGAGAGACCCCUAGCCUGGGAACCUCCAUAUGCCACAAGUGCGGCCUUAAAAUAAAAAAAAAAUAAAAAAAAAGACAAAAAAAGAAAGAAAGAAAAUCUAUGCAGAGGGUAGAGCAGAAACAAGCCAGUGGUUUUGUUUUCUGUAUCCACAAGCUAGGUGGUUGACAGGCCAGUGGAGAAAGGGUGUCCAGAGCUGAGGCAGGCUCUCCUAAGGGUGGGGAUCGCCCUAGGGUGAAAAGCUUCGGUUCUUUUCGGCUUGUAGAGAUGAGUGAGUGUGAGAGAGGGCUGUGCAUGGUGUAGGAGUGGCACAGCAGUGAUUCUGACACUGGCUGGUGCUUUAGCUUAUCUUCAGUUUCCUAGUUCAUGGGAAGAUCUAUCCCAUUUGGUUAAAGGUGCCAAAAGAAGUGGACCACAGCAUCAUGAAUAUCUUAUCUAUAAAUUCUUUAUGAUGACUCAUGUUGUAGUUGGCUGAGAGUUUUUUUUUUUUUAACACAUUGCUCACCUCAUGAAAAUCAGUUUGAUGGAUUUAGUUACAUUAAUAAAAAUAUUUAGACAUCAUAGCUAGAGCUGGUGAAUGUUACCAGUAAUAUAAAUUUAAAAACCAAGUACAACGUUCAGACAAAACAAGUUAAUUUAGUUGACACAAUUCUGAGUUAUAAAAGCACAGACCAGCAUCUGAAGGGAAUGCGUUUAGGAUUUUUAAUGUGGCAAUUAAACAUGGUUAGGGGCCUAUGUAAAUUAGCAUGUUUUUAACUGCAUUUAUGGUCAUCUUAAUCUGAUAUGGCUGACUUAAUUUCAUAGUCAUUUGAGGAUAGUUAAUUCUACUUUAUAGUUACUUACCAGGAAAUUAUGCCUCAUGCUGUGUAGUGAGGUUUUGUAAAUGAAUCUAAAGAAAAUUGUUAUUGUUGGGGGAAAAAAAUUCUUUGUUUAAGCACCAUCUCACGGUUGCUGCCUCUAAGGGAUUGUUGCUGCAUGGUAUUUAAAAAAAGAUUUUAAUGUGUUUUAUAUCUAUCUUGUCAGUUUUUGAGUAGAAAAACACAGAUGUGUGAGUUUAGUAAAAAACUUAAAUACCUCUCUGGGACCAGUCUAUGGCCACAUCUCCCUGAACUAUCGGUGAUUAUUUCUGUGGUAUAGAUGAGUUUGCAGUUUAUGAAGUACUGUACUAGUUGAUAAUAAUCUUUUGGCUUGUACAUACAUAUUUUAAAAAUCUUUCAAAUAAAAUAUAUGUUAAGGGAGUUCCUAUUGUGGUUCAGUGGUAAUGAACCCAACUAGUAAACAUGAGGACGCGGGUUCGAUCCCUGGUCUUGAUCAUUAGGUUAAGGAUUUGGCGUUGGCAUGAGCUGCAGUGUAGGUUGCAGACACCGCUCAGAUCUGGCCUUGCUGUGGCUGUGGCAUAGGUUGGCAGCUGUAGCUCUGAUUUGACCCUUAGCCUGCGGCGGAGCUUCCUUAUGCAGCACAUGCAGUCCUAAAAAGCAAAAAAAAAAAAAAAAAAAAAAAAAAAAA
This 1546-nucleotide long non-coding RNA is filed under the name Sus scrofa (pig). RNAcentral's name for it is "lncRNA (ENSSSCG00055007113.1)". The record is from RNAcentral. Lineage: Eukaryota; Metazoa; Chordata; Mammalia; Artiodactyla; Suidae.